UAAUACAUCGGAACGUGUCUUCUAGUGGGGGAUAACUGCCCGAAAGGGCAGCUAAUACCGCAUGAGACCUGAGGGUGAAAGCGGGGGAUCGCAAGACCUCGCGCUGGAAGAGCGGCCGAUGUCCGAUUAGCUAGUUGGUGAGGUAAAGGCUCACCAAGGCGACGAUCUCUAGCUGGUCUGAGAGGAUGACCAGCCACACUGGGACUGAGACACGGCCCAG
RNAcentral lists this ribosomal RNA (220 nucleotides) under uncultured bacterium. Its description in RNAcentral is "partial 16S ribosomal RNA". It matches the Rfam family "Bacterial small subunit ribosomal RNA", at positions 111 to 334 of the family's 1533-position model. The record is from RNAcentral.